Osmerus eperlanus (European smelt) is the source of this 2368-nucleotide long non-coding RNA. RefSeq lists it as uncharacterized. The record is from RefSeq and is a predicted model, not a curated record. NCBI's taxonomy places the organism in Eukaryota, Metazoa, Chordata, Actinopteri, Osmeriformes, Osmeridae. The transcript has 4 exons.
AUUCUGGUGGAUGUAAAUCGCAGAAAAUGACAACCAGAAACUUUCUGAACAGUUGUUCCCAGACUUUUGCAGAUUGUACCUGACUUUUGUCUUCAGAUGACCAACAGGAUUUUAUACAGCCUGUUCUAACCAGGUUAGAGAUCAUGGCGACGAGCGUUCGCUGGAGCAGAGGGCGACUGCUUCAAUCUGAAGUGGUUGAUGAAAUGCUUUUGCUCAUUAGCGAGCUAACGAUCAACAACAACCUGUUGGUCCUGGUUUCACCGUACCUCGAACGGGAGGACAGACAGGAAGGCCGGUUCCUGUCUGUCUCCUUGGGUGUCUCUAGAAGAACAGUGAACCGAUGAUUAAGACAGUACAAUCUCUCUUUUAGGGGUCGCUACACGGAUCUAACAGAUGAUGCACUUGAUAACCAUGUGCUGGAUAUCAUCUCUGGCAAUGAUGAAAUAGGACCAGAAGCUGUCAAGCCCUGGCUUGUGGGUGAGGGUGUCAUAGUCCAGAGAUGGCGUGUGAGGCAAAGUGUCAUCAGGACUAAUCCUGAAGGUGCUGCUAACAAUGUUUCCUCUAUGUUGAUUUUGCCGUGGCGGCCCAAAAAGCCAAGGCCAACAGGACAUAAUUACUACAUACCCGUCGCCCUGACCUCUGUGGUAAUGAAGUAUUUAGAGCGCCUGGUGCUGGCACACCUUAAAUCCAUCACAGACCCUCUACUGGACCCCUGCAGUUUGCCUACAGAGCCACCAGGUCAAUGGACGAUGCAGUUAAUCUCUGUUAAAUGUUAUCGCUCCUAUGAGCGAAAGUGCGUGAGAGGGUGCAAAAAUUGAAUCGGCGAAAGCAGAAUGAAGCAACAAGUUCGUGGCUAUGUCUUGAUAUAAUUCAUUGUUUGGACCAGAGGCGUUGUUAGACAUAAAACUCUACUGGGGCACAGGCCCCUAUUCAUAUCCCUUUUUUUCUUUCACGCUUGCUGCGCACAAUGCACUACUAGGCUAUAGAAACUCCCCUUGUUUAACCCACUAUACAACAGUUCAGGGACGCAAGUUUGAUAUCAGCUUUGGCAGGGACAGCAAUAGUUAAUGCGAGGGCACAUUUUUUCGCAUUAAUUUGAGUGCAAAUACAGUUUUUUUUUUUAGCUUCAUGUAAUAAUGUUUUUAUGUUUUAGUCAAAAUAAGAUUAUCGGUAGGCCGCUCAUUUAGAAACUAUCUUUAGUUUAGUAAUGUUUUCUUAGCCUACCUCAAUUCUGACUUGUGUGCCGAGUCCGACACCUGGACUUCUGUGUGUGUGCUGCAGUGGCUAUUUGGCAAGCUCAGAAGAGCGCGCUGACAUGGAAUUCUGUGGGCAUCGGUUUGUGUUUUCGGUUAAACACUUUUACAACCGUUGAUUGGGAUCCUGCGUUUAUUUUUUCCGGGAUUAUCAAUCUAAAUUAAUGCACUGACAAAUAAAGUAAAUUGUUAAAACUCAAACUUUUGAAUUUACUGGGGCAAAGCAGAUUCAUACUGGGGCACAUGCCCCAGUAAAAAGGGUCUAAUGACGCCCAUGGUUUGGACAAACUGGUUAGAUAGUUUGGACCUUUGGGAAUGUAACCAGUCCAUUUUUAUUCAGAUUGUUUGCAUACCUGGACCAGGCUGAACCUUUUAGGGUGAGUAGAAUAGUUUGCUUUUGCUUUGUUUACAUAUUUGUGACUGGACAAAGACGUUGACUGAACUUGCUGUUGCGACUUGAUCUUGAGCUCUGCCUUCAAUACCAUCAUCCCGCCCUGCUUCAGGACAAGCUCUCCCAGCUGAACGUGCCUGAUUCCACCUGCAGGUGGAUCACAGACUUCCUGUCUGACAGGAAGCAGUGCGUUAAGCUGGGAACACAAGUCUCUGACUCCCAGUCCAUCAGCACUGGAUCACCCCAGGGCUGCAUCCUUUCUCCUCUGCUUUUCUCCCUGUACACCAACAGCUGCACCUCUAGUCAUCCGUCAAACUCCUGAAGUUUGCGGACGACACCACCAUCAUUGGGCUCAUCUCUGGUGGAGACGAGUCUGAUUAUAGGUGUGAAGCGGCCAACCUGGUGACCUGGUGCAGCCAGAACAACCUAGAGCUCAAUGCUCUUAACCCUUGUGCUGCCUUCGGGUCACAUGACCAACGAACCAUCGUUGUGUUUACCCAAUACAAAAACAAAACAAAAAAAAAUUAUUUUAACCUUUGCAAUGUGGGGGGUCUGAGACAGCCCAACGGUUAAAAGAAAAUGCUUCACUUUGUUUUUGUAUGCGGUAAAGUUGUCGCAAUACAACGGUGGGUCACAAUGACUGAUGGGUCAGAAUGACCCGAAGAUAACACAAGGGUUAAGACAGUGGAGAUGGUUGUGGACUUCAGGAAGAAUACAGCCCCAC